GAUGAAGAACGUAGCGAAAUGCGAUAAGUAGUGUGAAUUGCAGAAUUCAGUGAAUCAUCGAAUCUUUGAACGCACAUUGCGCCCCUUGGUAUUCCAUGGGGCAUGCCUGUUCGAGCGUCAUCUACAACCCUCAAGCCCUGCUUGGUGUUGGGCGUCUGUCCCGCCCCCGCGCGCGGAAUCGCCCCAAAUCCAUUGGCGGCGGCCCUUGCCUCCCUCUCGCGCAGCACAUUGCGCUUCUCGAGGCGUCGCGGGCCGCGCUCCACGAAGCACGCAAACCAGUCUUUGACCUCGGAUCAGGUAGGGAUACCCGCUGAACUUAAGCAUAUCAAUAAGCGGAGGA
Molecule: unclassified non-coding RNA, 340 nt
Filed under: soil metagenome
Description: partial contains 5.8S ribosomal RNA, internal transcribed spacer 2, and large subunit ribosomal RNA
Rfam family: 5.8S ribosomal RNA (bases 1-120)
Source: RNAcentral